RNAcentral lists this transfer RNA (69 nucleotides) under Thalassaphorura encarpata. Its description in RNAcentral is "tRNA-Met". The record is from RNAcentral. Lineage: Eukaryota; Metazoa; Arthropoda; Collembola; Poduromorpha; Onychiuridae.
UAAAAGAUAAGCUAAAUAAGCUACUGGGCCCAUACCCCUUCUAUGUAAGUUUUAAUCUUACUCUUUUUA